CAGCCGCGCGGUAAUACGUAGGUGGCAAGCGUUGUCCGGAAUUAUUGGGCGUAAAGGGCUCGCAGGCGGUUUCUUAAGUCUGAUGUGAAAGCCCCCGGCUCAACCGGGGAGGGUCAUUGGAAACUGGGAAACUUGAGUGCAGAAGAGGAGAGUGGAAUUCAACGUGUAGCGGUGAAAUGCGUAGAGAUGUGGAGGAACACCAGUGGCGAAGGCGACUCUCUGGUCUGUAACUGACGCUGAGGAGCGAAAGCGUGGGGAGCGAACAGGAUUAGAUACCCCUGUAGUCCCUGUCUCUUAUACA
Molecule: ribosomal RNA, 301 nt
Filed under: uncultured bacterium
Lineage: Bacteria
Description: partial 16S ribosomal RNA
Rfam family: Bacterial small subunit ribosomal RNA
Source: RNAcentral